This 460-nucleotide ribosomal RNA is filed under the name uncultured bacterium. RNAcentral describes it as "partial 16S ribosomal RNA". It matches the Rfam family "Bacterial small subunit ribosomal RNA", at positions 338 to 795 of the family's 1533-position model. The record is from RNAcentral.
CCUACGGGUGGCAGCAGUGAGGAAUAUUGGUCAAUGGGCGCAAGCCUGAACCAGCCAAGUAGCGUGAAGGAUGACGGCCCUACGGGUUGUAAACUUCUUUUAUAAAGGAAUAAAGUGAGUCACGUGUGCCGUUUUGUAUGUACUUUAUGAAUAAGGAUCGGCUAACUCCGUGCCAGCAGCCGCGGUAAUACGGCGGGUCCGGGCGUUAUCCGGAUUUAUUGGGUUUAAAGGGAGCGUAGAUGGGUUGUUAAGUGUGUUGUGAAAGUUUGCGGCUCAACCGUAAAAUUGCAAUUGAUACUGGCAGUCUUGAGUACAGUUGAGGUAGGCGGAAUUCGUGGUGUAGCGGUGAAAUGCUUAGAUAUCACGAAGAACUCCGAUUGCGAAGGCAGCUUACUAAACUGCCACUGACAUUGAUGCUCGAAAGUGUGGGUAUCAAACAGGAUUAGAUACCCUUGUAGUC